AGCCUGAUGCGCCAUGCCGCGUGUGUGAAGAAGGCCUUCGGGUUGUAAAGCACUUUCAGUCGUGAGGAAGGUGGUGUCGUUAAUAGCUGCAUUAUUUGACGUUAGCGACAGAAGAAGCACCGGCUAACUCCGUGCCAGCAGCCGCGGUAAUACGGAGGGUGCGAGCGUUAAUCGGAAUUACUGGGCGUAAAGCGCAUGCAGGUGGUUUGUUAAGUCAGAUGUGAAAGCCCGGGGCUCAACCUCGGAAUAGCAUUUGAAACUGGCAGACUAGAGUACUGUAGAGGGGGGUAGAAUUUCAGGUGUAGCGGUGAAAUGCGUAGAGAUCUGAAGGAAUACCGGUGGCGAAGGCGGCCCCCUGGACAGAUACUGACACUCAGAUGCGAAAGCGUGGGGAGCAAACAGGAUUAGAUACCCUGGUAGUCCACGCCGUAAACGAUGUCUACUUGGAGGUUGUGGCCUUGAGCCGUGGCUUUCGGAGCUAACGCGUUAAGUAGACCGCCUGGGGAGUACGGUCGCAAGAUUAAAACUCAAAUGAAUUGACGGGGGCCCGCACAAGCGGUGGAGCAUGUGGUUUAAUUCGAUGCAACGCGAAGAACCUUACCUACUCUUGACAUCCAGAGAACUUUCCAGAGAUGGAUUGGUGCCUUCGGGAACUCUGAGACAGGUGCUGCAUGGCUGUCGUCAGCUCGUGUUGUGAAAUGUUGGGUUAAGUCCCGCAACGAGCGCAACCCUUAUCCUUGUUUGCCAGCGAGUAAUGUCGGGAACUCCAGGGAGACUGCCGGUGAUAAACCGGAGGAAGGUGGGGACGACGUCAAGUCAUCAUGGCCCUUACGAGUAGGGCUACACACGUGCUACAAUGGCGCAUACAGAGGGCGGCCAACUUGCGAGAGUGAGCGAAUCCCAAAAAGUGCGUCGUAGUCCGGAUUGGAGUCUGCAACUCGACUCCAUGAAGUCGGAAUCGCUAGUAAUCGUGGAUCAGAAUGCCACGGUGAAUACGUUCCCGGGCCUUGUACACACCGCCCGUCACACCAUGGGGAGUGGGCUGCAAAAAAAGUAGGUAGUUUAACCUUCGGGGGGACGCUUACCACUUUGGGGUUCAUGACUGGGUGAU
RNAcentral lists this ribosomal RNA (1111 nucleotides) under Vibrio sp. 816. RNAcentral describes it as "bacterial SSU rRNA". It matches the Rfam family "Bacterial small subunit ribosomal RNA", at positions 380 to 1484 of the family's 1533-position model. Lineage: Bacteria; Pseudomonadati; Pseudomonadota; Gammaproteobacteria; Vibrionales; Vibrionaceae. The record is from RNAcentral.